GGCCACCUUUGUGCAUUUUGAGUCUACCUCUCGCAUUUCUUGGUCAUCAGCAAACCUAUGUAUAUGCAACAUAUAAAAGGGUGAUUUAACACACCUAGUGUCAAAGUAUAAUCUAACAAGAUUCAUAACAAUUAUGGUAGAUCACAUUUUUAUGAAGCUAACAAAACUAAUUUGGUAUUUUUCCGGAUUUUCUAUGAUUUUUAGUUAAUUUUGCAAGAUCUUUGUUUUUAUAGAAAAGGAAAAAGUCCAUAUUACUCCCUCCAAGUUUGACCUAUGUCUAAAUAACCCCUUAAACUAACAUUUGGUUCAAUUUACUCCCUCAAUCUAUUUAAGUUGGUCCAACUAACAUCUUAAAAAGUUUUUUUCUUUUUUGUUUCUCUAUGCACAAAUUAUAUUUUAGUAUCAAAAUUUGUGAGGUGAUAGAGGACAUUGUAUUUUGUGUUAGAAAAAUGCACUGUGAUUUUUUCAUCAUUAUUGUUUAUAUGAUAUUCUGUCUCUAGUGUUAAUUUAUUGUUAAGGGGUAAAUUAGACCAACUAAAAUAGUUGGAGGUAGUAAAUUAAACCAAAUGUAAGCAUAGGAGGUAAUCUAGACAUAUGCCAAACUUGAGAGAAGUAAUUUGUACUUUUUCCUAUAGAAAAAGAUAAAAGGAAAAUCAAAGGAAACUGAAUAUUUUGUAUUAGGAACUCUGAUCUAUUUCAAAAACUAUUUGGACACUUUAACCUUAUUCUUUCUCUCUGUGUUGAUGCAAAAAGUAGAUUUGCAUACACAAAAAGCUAAUACCCGAUUCGAUAUCCAAGACAUGCCAGUCAAUUUGACCUAUUAAUCGACAAGAAUAAUAACUCGAGCAUUUUGGUCCUGACAACAGUGAUACACCCGGAUGAGAACUCGUAAAAAAAAUAUGCGAAUUGACGAAGUCGUCGAAAAGUAAGUGGAUGCAAAAAAUAGG
This 947-nucleotide long non-coding RNA is filed under the name Sorghum bicolor (sorghum). Its description in RNAcentral is "long non-coding RNA (SBIC_LNC004647)". The record is from RNAcentral. Lineage: Eukaryota; Viridiplantae; Streptophyta; Magnoliopsida; Poales; Poaceae.